CAGUAUUGCCCAGAGGCCUAGACUGGCAUCAGAUCCGCAUUGUGCUAGGAGCUGUUCAAACACAUACGCAGAUGAGGCCCUUAUGCAAAAAGAUUCCAGUCUAAGCAGAAUUAUUGCCCAGAGGCCUAGACUGGCAUCAGAUCCGCAUUGUGCUAGGAGCUGCUCAAACACAUACGCAGAUGAGGCCCUUAUGCAAAAAGAUUCCAGUCUAAGCAGAAUUUCACAACCUGGUCACUGUCCUCCAACGAGCACUGAAGGGAAUUGGAGCACACGGAUGAGUAAAGCAAGCAGGAUUAAGCUCCUAACGUGCAUUUUCCCUUCUGUCGAUGUGCCCAUUGUGUGUGGUCCGGUGUGAAGCAGAUUAUUGUGCCAGUCAGCUUUGUGUGCUUUCCACACCCUAAGGUAAUCUCCCACAAAAAUCCCUCUUUUGACCCAGCACUGAAGCAGUCAGGUGAGAGGCCCCAGCGAGGGGUAAGGAGAUGGGGGGGGAUGGGAAGGAUCAAACCACAGCAGAGAUGUGUAGUUAAUUAGCCAGUCAAAGGGCAGGUUGCCAGUGUUCUCCAGAGCCCACCCCUAUGGUAACUCCCGGCGCCCCACGUCCGUAACUCAGAGCUGGGCUGUGCAACCUGCCAACUCCCCUCGCUUUGUGCACAGAUAACACACACACACACACACUGGACGGUAUUUUCCCCCAUGCCGGGAGCCGUUCGCCCUUCACCACGGUCCCUCCAGGAGUGAGCUACUGUUGGGUACCUGACCCGUAGAGCCCCCAUGGGCUGUAGCAGUGUGUGACAGCAAUCACAGAGCCCAAACCUGACCUGGAGCCAGGGGAUCCUGGGAACUGGGGCUGAGGGGGAGAGUUAACAGCUGGGAAGGGAAGCGGGAAAAGACAAAGCCACACUGGAAUGAGUCCCUGGGCUGAAGCUAAUGGACACCCUAAAGCUAAAUCACAGAUAUGCUGCCGCAGGGGUAAACUGUACGGGGAGACUUUGGCAAACCCGUAAAGUGCCUGAAACCACUAUGGCUUAUUGCUAAAAGCAGCCAAGUCAGCAGGCUGUAAAUUGGCCAAGUCAGCAGGCUUAGCUUAACCAAG
Long non-coding RNA from Chelonia mydas (Green sea turtle), 1093 nucleotides. RefSeq lists it as uncharacterized. The record is from RefSeq and is a predicted model, not a curated record. Lineage: Eukaryota; Metazoa; Chordata; Testudines; Cheloniidae. The transcript has 3 exons.